Molecule: ribosomal RNA, 418 nt
Filed under: Methylobacter sp.
Lineage: Bacteria; Pseudomonadati; Pseudomonadota; Gammaproteobacteria; Methylococcales; Methylococcaceae
Description: bacterial SSU rRNA
Rfam family: Bacterial small subunit ribosomal RNA
Source: RNAcentral
AAACUGAAGAGUUUGAUCAUGGCUCAGAUUGAACGCUGGCGGUAUGCUUAACACAUGCAAGUCGAACGGUAACAGGCCUUCGGGCGCUGACGAGUGGCGGACGGGUGAGUAACGCGUAGGAAUCUGCCUCAUAGUGGGGGACAACGUGGGGAAACUCACGCUAAUACCGCAUACGCCCUACGGGGGAAAGCGGGGGAUCUUCGGACCUCGCGCUAUGAGAUGAGCCUGCGUUAGAUUAGCUAGUUGGUGGGGUAAAGGCCUACCAAGGCGACGAUCUAUAGCUGGUCUGAGAGGACGAUCAGCCACACUGGGACUGAGACACGGCCCAGACUCCUACGGGAGGCAGCAGUGGGGAAUAUUGGACAAUGGGCGAAAGCCUGAUCCAGCAAUACCGCGUGUGUGAAGAAGGCCUUAGGGU